RNAcentral lists this unclassified non-coding RNA (397 nucleotides) under uncultured fungus. RNAcentral describes it as "partial contains small subunit ribosomal RNA, internal transcribed spacer 1, and 5.8S ribosomal RNA". The stretch from base 1 to 73 matches the Rfam family "Eukaryotic small subunit ribosomal RNA", at positions 1759 to 1831 of the family's 1831-position model. The record is from RNAcentral. Lineage: Eukaryota; Fungi.
GCAAACUUGGUCAUUUAGAGGAAGUAAAAGUCGUAACAAGGUUUCCGUAGGUGAACCUGCGGAAGGAUCAUUAUUGAAUAUACUUGAUGGGUUGUAGCUGGCUCUUCGGAGCAAUGUGCACGCCUGUCUUGCUUUUUAUUCAUCCACCUGUGCACUUUCUGUAGUCUUCUAGGGAUUGAGAGCAGCCAACUAUCGAGCCUUCUCGGAUGUGAGGAAUGCUUGCGCAUAAAAGUGUGUAGCUUUCUUCAAAUGGCUGUGAACUUUUCCUGGAGUCUAUGUUUUCAUAUACCACAUAGUAUGUAUCAGAAUGUAUUCAAUGGGCCUUUUGUGCCUAUAAAUGAUCUAUACAACUUUCAGCAACGGAUCUCUUGGCUCUCGCAUCGAUGAAGAACGCAGC